CCUACGGGAGGCAGCAGUGGGGAAUAUUGCACAAUGGGCGCAAGCCUGAUGCAGCCAUGCCGCGUGUGUGAAGAAGGCCUUCGGGUUGUAAAGCACUUUCAGCGGGGAGGAAGGCGUUAAGGUUAAUAACCUUGUCGAUUGACGUUACCCGCAGAAGAAGCACCGGCUAACUCCGUGCCAGCAGCCGCGGUAAUACGGAGGGUGCAAGCGUUAAUCGGAAUUACUGGGCGUAAAGCGCACGCAGGCGGUCUGUCAAGUCGGAUGUGAAAUCCCCAGGCUCAACCUGGGAACUGCAUUCGAAACUGGCAGGCUAGAGUCUUGUAGAGGGGGGUAGAAUUCCAGGUGUAGCGGUGAAAUGCGUAGAGAUCUGGAGGAAUACCGGUGGCGAAGGCGGCCCCCUGGACAAAGACUGACGCUCAGGUGCGAAAGCGUGGGGAGCAAACAGGAUUAGAUACCCCGGUAGUC
This 465-nucleotide ribosomal RNA is filed under the name uncultured Klebsiella sp. Its description in RNAcentral is "bacterial SSU rRNA". It matches the Rfam family "Bacterial small subunit ribosomal RNA", at positions 338 to 795 of the family's 1533-position model. The record is from RNAcentral. Lineage: Bacteria; Pseudomonadati; Pseudomonadota; Gammaproteobacteria; Enterobacterales; Enterobacteriaceae.